GUGGAAAUACUUGUUGCUUCUUGUGGAACCACCUCAAGUUACUUGCACACUGUAGACUGAGGUCUUCUACUAAUUUUCUUGCCUUUCUGAUGAUUGUUCCUUCUGAGGGUUGCCCAUCCACAUGCCUUCAGCUGUCUCUCUGUCCUUUGUCCACCAGGCUCAAGUCUCUCCUAAUCUGCUGCAUUCUGCUUCUAAAUUUAAAAUGUUUGCCAGUCUUUUAGCCCAAAGCCAUGAAAGAAAGAUUAGCCACCGGGAAAGCAGAAACCAAACUGCUCACCUGACCCCAGUUCAGUGGAACUGCAACAUACAUAAAUUAAGGGGAUGGUAAAGAUGAGAAGAAAAAAUGAGUGAAGACACAAAUCCACAAGUGUUUGUAUACACAGUAAGCUGAACCCACAGUUUGUGUGUCUGGGCUUGCUGAGGUCAUUUCUCAACAGUUCUUCCACCAACUCUACUUAUGCACUCAUGAGUAAUCUUCACCAUUUUGAGAGAAGUGCCUUCCACCAAGAGUACGGACUGUGAGCAGAAGUGCAAAAAUUGAAGCUUAAAGCUGGAACAAAUCAGACAAUAGCAGCUGCACGCAGAUGAGCGGCCACAGCCUUUGAAAACAUGAGAAACAAGGAGGCUGUGCAGGGACAAUGUCCAAUUGAAAGACCAUUUAUCAGAAAAAAAAAAAGAUCUCUGUGCUGCAGUUGUACAUCUGGUAAUUGACUAGCAGUGACUGAGAGUUUUCUGCAUUAGAUCCCAUGGACUUAGAGACAAAUCUGAGAAGAAAUUGCUUUAAUUCCUCCCAGAUUAAUGAGGAGGCUUGACUGUCAGCCCUGAAGUGUCUUCUGGGACAUACUCGAGGCUCAUCUCUUUGUUUUCGUUUUAUAGCAAGAUGACAAUGAUGAAAUCAAUAAGUCACUUAUAUCUGUGACCUACAGUUCCUGUGAAUUCAAGGAGGAUGAUGUCUUAGUACAGAACUGACAAUAAAUCUUACAUUGUCUUCAACACAUUGCAGACCAUUUCAUGGAGGUCAAGCAUUUUUUAAUUUUAUUUUAUUCAAAAGCACAAAUUGUGUCAAAUUAAAGAUUUGUGUCCAACAAAACAUUUUGUGAAUUCAUGUCACCAUUGAAAUAUUGUUUUGAGACUAA
Long non-coding RNA from Oxyura jamaicensis (ruddy duck), 1136 nucleotides. RefSeq lists it as uncharacterized. The transcript has 7 exons. The record is from RefSeq and is a predicted model, not a curated record. NCBI's taxonomy places the organism in Eukaryota, Metazoa, Chordata, Aves, Anseriformes, Anatidae.